Molecule: ribosomal RNA, 497 nt
Filed under: uncultured bacterium
Lineage: Bacteria
Description: partial 16S ribosomal RNA
Rfam family: Bacterial small subunit ribosomal RNA
Source: RNAcentral
GAUGAACGCUGGCGGCGUGCCUAACACAUGCAAGUCGAGCGAACGGACGAGAAGCUUGCUUCUUUGACGUUAGCGGCGGACGGGUGAGUAACACGUGGAUACUCUCCCUAUAAGACUGGGAUAACUUCGGGAAACCGGAGCUAAUACCGUAGGAUAUCCUGCACCGCGUGGUUCAAAAGUGAAAGACGGUCUUGCUGUCACUUAUAGAUGGAUCUCGGCUGCAUUAGCUAGUUGGUAAGGUCACGGCUUACCAAGGCAAGUCUGCGUAGCCGACGUGAGAGGGGGAUCGGCCACACGGGAGGUGAGACACGGUCCAGACGCCUGCGGGAGGCAGCAGAAGGGUAUCGUCCGCAAUGGGCGAGAGCCUGGCGGAGCAGGGCGGCGUGAGUGAUGAAGGUCUUGGGAGCGUAAAACUCUGUUACGAGGGAAGAACAUAUGUGGAAGUAACUGUGCAGAGCUUGACGGUACCGAGUCAGGAAGCAACGGCUAACUACGUG